This 400-nucleotide long non-coding RNA is filed under the name Ananas comosus (pineapple). Its description in RNAcentral is "long non-coding RNA (ACOM_LNC006889)". Lineage: Eukaryota; Viridiplantae; Streptophyta; Magnoliopsida; Poales; Bromeliaceae. The record is from RNAcentral.
GCAGAUGCUUAUGGUUAAUUAUUCGAGUGUCUGAAUUACCCUGCGAGCAAGAUUUUAAGUGUCCAUCGGCACGGGCCGUAUCCAUCGUGCCGUACCGUACCAACAAGAUACCGCCACGACAUAAACUCCGUACAAAACCCUCUAUUCUUUAGAUUAGUAAGUAAUUUCCUCAAUAAAGUUCAAAAGAUGUGAUAAAAAGAUAUAAUAAAUAGUUAGAAUAUUUUGUUGCUAAAGAAAAUAAAUAUUUCAUGCUAUUAUGUGUCGGCACACAAGAAUUUUUUUGACCGGCACGCAUCGGCACGGCUCGGCACGCACCAUGCCGUACCGUGCCGGCAAAUUUCCGGCACGAUCCCGUGCCACGACACUUUUCAUAUUAUUCUUGCCUGCGACUGUCCGAAAC